RNAcentral lists this small RNA (50 nucleotides) under Arabidopsis thaliana (thale cress). RNAcentral describes it as "ATSL260910". The record is from RNAcentral. Lineage: Eukaryota; Viridiplantae; Streptophyta; Magnoliopsida; Brassicales; Brassicaceae.
CACCACAAACGAAGAAUGUCAAGCUUGACAUGAUCUAACAGUUAUCUUUC